RNAcentral lists this ribosomal RNA (465 nucleotides) under Vreelandella stevensii. Its description in RNAcentral is "partial 16S ribosomal RNA". It matches the Rfam family "Bacterial small subunit ribosomal RNA", at positions 338 to 795 of the family's 1533-position model. Lineage: Bacteria; Pseudomonadati; Pseudomonadota; Gammaproteobacteria; Oceanospirillales; Halomonadaceae. The record is from RNAcentral.
CCUACGGGUGGCAGCAGUGGGGAAUAUUGGACAAUGGGCGAAAGCCUGAUCCAGCCAUGCCGCGUGUGUGAAGAAGGCCUUCGGGUUGUAAAGCACUUUCAGUGGGGAAGAAAGCCUUGGGGCUAAUACCCUCGAGGAAGGACAUCACCCACAGAAGAAGCACCGGCUAACUCCGUGCCAGCAGCCGCGGUAAUACGGAGGGUGCGAGCGUUAAUCGGAAUUACUGGGCGUAAAGCGCGCGUAGGCGGUCUGAUAAGCCGGUUGUGAAAGCCCCGGGCUCAACCUGGGAAUGGCAUCCGGAACUGUCAGGCUAGAGUGCAGGAGAGGAAGGUAGAAUUCCCGGUGUAGCGGUGAAAUGCGUAGAGAUCGGGAGGAAUACCAGUGGCGAAGGCGGCCUUCUGGACUGACACUGACGCUGAGGUGCGAAAGCGUGGGUAGCAAACAGGAUUAGAUACCCGUGUAGUC